AGUUGCGUUAGUCAGCAAGGUUAAGUCAGAAAAGACGGAGCCGUAGCGAAAGCGAGUCUGAAGAGGGCGAACAGUUGGCUGACGCAGACCCGAAACCAAGUGACCUACCCAUGACCAGGUUGAAGGCGCGGUAAAACGCGCUGGAGGACCGAACCCACGUAAGUUGAAAAUUGCGGGGAUGAGUUGUGGGUAGCGGUGAAAUUCCAAACGAACUUGGAGAUAGCUGGUUCUCUCCGAAAUAGCUUUAGGGCUAGCCUCGCAAAGAGGAUGCUGGAGGUAGAGCUCUGUUUGGACUAGGGGCCCGUCAAGGGUUACUGAAUUCAGAUAAACUGCGAAUUCCAGACAUUUAUGUGCGGGAGUCAGACUGCGAGUGAUAAGAUCCGUAGUCGAAAGGGAAACAGCCCAGAUCACCAGUUAAGGUCCCAAAAUUCAUGCUAAGUGGAAAAGGAUGUGGAGUUGCGCAGACAACUAGGACGUUGGCUCAGAAGCAGCCAUCAUUCAAAGAGUGCGUAAUAGCUCACUAGUCGAGUGACGCCGCGCCGAAAAUUUACCGGGGCUAAGCAUGAUACCGAAACUGUGGAUGUGCAUUUAUGCACGUGGUAGGAGAGCGUUCUAGCGGCGGUGAAGCAUGACCGAGAGGACAUGUGGAGCUUCUAGAAGUGAGAAUGCCGGUAUGAGUAACGAAAGACAGGUGAGAAUCCUGUCCGCCGCAAGACUAAGGUUUCCUGGGGCAGGCUCGUCCGCCCAGGGUAAGUCGGGACCUAAGGCGAGGCCGAGAGGCGUAGUCGAUGGACAACAGGUUGAAAUUCCUGUACUGCACCGAAUCGUUAUGAGCGAUGGAGGGACGCAGGAGGCUAGCAGCGCGUGGUGCUGGAUACCACGUUCAAGCGUCAAGUCUGAGAGUGAGUCAAAUGCUUGCUCUCAUAAGGACAAGGCGUGAUGAGGAGCGAAAUUAAAGUAGCGAAGGCUGCGACGUCACACUGCCGAGAAAAGCUUCUAGCCAGAGACGGUGCACCCGUACCGCAAACCGACACAGGUAGUCGAGGAGAGUAUCCUCAGGUGAGCGAGAGAACUCUCGUUAAGGAACUCGGCAAAAUGGCCCCGUAACUUCGGGAGAAGGGGCGCUGGUCGCAAGAUCAGCCGCAGUGAAAAGGCCCAAGCAACUGUUUAUCAAAAACACAGGCAUCUGCAAAAUCGUAAGAUGAAGUAUAGGUGCUGACACCUGCCCGGUGCUGGAAGGUUAAGAGGAGAGCUUAGCGCAAGCGAAGGUUUGAAUUGAAGCCCCAGUAAACGGCGGCCGUAACUAUAACGGUCCUAAGGUAGCGAAAUUCCUUGUCGGGUAAGUUCCGACCUGCACGAAAGGUGUAAUGAUUUGGGCACUGUCUCAACGAGAGACUCGGUGAAAUUAUAAUACCCGUGAAGAUGCGGGUUACCCGCGACAGGACGGAAAGACCCCAUGGAGCUUUACUGCAGUUUAAUAUUGGGUAUCUGUCAAGCAUGUACAGGAUAGGUAGGAGCCGGAGAAGAUAGGACGCCAGUCUUAUCUGAGGCGCUGUUGGGAUACUACCCUUGCUUGACGGAUGCUCUAACUCAGGCCUGUGAUCCAGGCCGAGGACAGUGUUUGACGGGCAGUUUGACUGGGGCGGUCGCCUCCUAAAGUGUAACGGAGGCGCCCAAAGGUUCCCUCAGAAUGGUUGGAAAUCAUUCGCAGAGUGUAAAGGUAAAAGGGAGCUUGACUGCGAGAGAGACAACUCGAGCAGGUACGAAAGUAGGGCUUAGUGAUCUGGUGGUACCGUAUGGAAGGGCCAUCACUCAACGGAUAAAAGCUACCCUGGGGAUAACAGGCUUAUCUCCCCCAAGAGUUCACAUCGACGGGGAGGUUUGGCACCUCGAUGUCGGCUCGUCGCAUCCUGGGGCUGAAGUCGGUCCCAAGGGUUGGGCUGUUCGCCCAUUAAAGCGGCACGCGAGCUGGGUUCAGAACGUCGUGAGACAGUUCGGUCCCUAUCCGUCGUGGGCGUAGGAAAUUUGAGAGGAGCUGUCCUUAGUACGAGAGGACCGGGAUGGACGCACCGCUGGUGUACCAGUUGUCUUGCCAAAGGCAUCGCUGGGUAGCUAUGUGCGGACGGGAUAAGCGCUGAAAGCAUCUAAGUGCGAAGCCCCCCUCAAGAUGAGAUUUCCCAUUUCUUCAAGAAAGUAAGACACCUCAGAGACGAUGAGGUAGAUAGGCCGGGAGUGGAAGAGCCGUGAGGCUUGGAGCGGACCGGUACUAAUCAGUCGAGGACUUGACCAAAA
RNAcentral lists this ribosomal RNA (2292 nucleotides) under Lactobacillus delbrueckii subsp. bulgaricus. Its description in RNAcentral is "partial 23S ribosomal RNA". It matches the Rfam family "Bacterial large subunit ribosomal RNA", at positions 626 to 2925 of the family's 2925-position model. Lineage: Bacteria; Bacillati; Bacillota; Bacilli; Lactobacillales; Lactobacillaceae. The record is from RNAcentral.